Podarcis lilfordi (Lilford's wall lizard) is the source of this 75-nucleotide non-coding RNA. Lineage: Eukaryota; Metazoa; Chordata; Lepidosauria; Squamata; Lacertidae. The record is from the annotation of a GenBank genome assembly.
GGCCUGGAAAGCUCUGUUGGUUAGAACGUGGUGCUGAUAACGCCAAGGUUGCUGGUUCGAUCCCUGUAUGGGCCA